AAGGGCACCACAAGAACGCGUGGAGCAUGUGGCUUAAUUUGACCCAACGCGGGAAAUCUUACCGGGUCCGGACACACUGAGGAUUGACAGGCAAUAUCUGAGUUAACAUCUCUGUAUGUUUCUCAGUGUUAAAUAUGCUAGUCCUUUCAUGAUUAUGUGAUAGGUGGUGCAUGGCCGUUCUUAGUUCGUGGAGUGAUCUGUCUGCUUAAUUGCGUUUCACUAAGGUUCUAUAUUUUAUGCAUGUUGUCAGCGCAUUGACCCCUCGUUUUCUUUUCUAAGAUUACGUAGCGUGUGUCUUUGAUUACGUCUGGCUCGUGCGAUUAGAACCUGAAAGCAACGAACGUGACCG
This 349-nucleotide ribosomal RNA is filed under the name Foraminifera environmental sample. Its description in RNAcentral is "SSU rRNA". It matches the Rfam family "Eukaryotic small subunit ribosomal RNA", at positions 1160 to 1418 of the family's 1831-position model. The record is from RNAcentral. Lineage: Eukaryota; Foraminifera.